UACGGAAGGUCCGGGCGUUAUCCGGAUUUAUUGGGUUUAAAGGGAGCGUAGGCCGCCGAUUAAGCGUGUUGUGAAAUGCCGUGGCUCAACCAUGGCACUGCAGCGCGAACUGGUUGGCUUGAGUGCGCGGAAGGCAGGCGGAAUUCGUGGUGUAGCGGUGAAAUGCUUAGAUAUCACGAAGAACCCCGAUUGCGAAGGCAGCUUGCCGCAGCGCUACUGACGCUGAAGCUCGAAGGUGCGGGUAUCGAACAGG
Molecule: ribosomal RNA, 253 nt
Filed under: uncultured bacterium
Lineage: Bacteria
Description: partial 16S ribosomal RNA
Rfam family: Bacterial small subunit ribosomal RNA
Source: RNAcentral